RNAcentral lists this ribosomal RNA (450 nucleotides) under uncultured bacterium. Its description in RNAcentral is "bacterial SSU rRNA". It matches the Rfam family "Bacterial small subunit ribosomal RNA", at positions 29 to 524 of the family's 1533-position model. The record is from RNAcentral.
AACGAACGCUGGCGGCAUGCCUAACACAUGCAAGUCGAACGAGACCUUCGGGUCUAGUGGCGCACGGGUGCGUAACGCGUGGGAAUCUGCCCUGGGGUGCGGAAUAACUCGGAGAAAUCCGUGCUAAUACCGCAUAAUGUCUUCGGACCAAAGAUUUAUUGCCCUGGGAUGAGCCCGCGUAGGAUUAGCUUGUUGGUGAGGUAAAGGCUCACCAAGGCGACGAUCCUUAGCAGGUCUGAGAGGAUGAUCAGCCACACUGGGACUGAGACACGGCCCAGACUCCUACGGGAGGCAGCAGUGGGGAAUAUUGGACAAUGGGCGAAAGCCUGAUCCAGCAAUGCCGCGUGAGUGAUGAAGGCCUUAGGGUUGUAAAGCUCUUUUACCCGGGAUGAUAAUGACAGUACCGGGAGAAUAAGCUCCGGCUAACUCCGUGCCAGCAGCCGCGGUAAU